This 250-nucleotide ribosomal RNA is filed under the name uncultured bacterium. RNAcentral describes it as "partial 16S ribosomal RNA". It matches the Rfam family "Bacterial small subunit ribosomal RNA", at positions 515 to 764 of the family's 1533-position model. The record is from RNAcentral.
CCGCGGUAAUACGUAGGGACCAAGCGUUGUUCGGAUUUACUGGGCGUAAAGGGCGCGUAGGCGGCGCUGUAAGUCACUUGUGAAAUCUCCGGGCUUAACUCGGAACGGCCAAGUGAUACUGCAGUGCUAGAGUGCAGAAGGGGCAAUCGGAAUUCUUGGUGUAGCGGUGAAAUGCGUAGAUAUCAAGAGGAACACCUGAGGUGAAGACGGGUUGCUGGGCUGACACUGACGCUGAGGCGCGAAAGCCAGG